UACGAAUGGGGCAAGCGUUGUUCGGAAUCACUGGGCUUAAAGCGUGCGCAGGCGGACAUAAAAGUCAGGAGUGAAAUCCCCGGGCUCAACCCGGGAAUUGCUUUUGAAACUGCAUGUCUAGAAUCCGGGAGAGGAUAGGAGAAUUCCCAGUGUAGAGGUGAAAUUCGCAGAUAUUGGGAGGAAUACCAGUGGCGUAGGCGCCUAUCUGGACCGGUAUUGACGCUCAGGCACGAAAGCGUGGGGAGCAAACAGG
Molecule: ribosomal RNA, 253 nt
Filed under: uncultured bacterium
Lineage: Bacteria
Description: partial 16S ribosomal RNA
Rfam family: Bacterial small subunit ribosomal RNA
Source: RNAcentral